GAUGAAGAACGCAGCGAAAUGCGAUACGUAAUGUGAAUUGCAGAAUUCAGUGAAUCAUCGAAUCUUUGAACGCACAUUGCGCCCGCCAGUAUUCUGGCGGGCAUGCCUGUCCGAGCGUCAUUUCAACCCUCGGGCCCCCCUCUGCGGGCGGCCCGGCGUUGGGGCUCAGGCGCCGUCUCUGCUCGGCGCCUGUCCCCUAAAUGCAGUGGCGGCCUCGCCGCUGCCUCCUCCGCGUAGUAGCACAAACCUCGCGGCUGGAAGGCGGCGCGGCCACGCCGUAAAACCCCCCAACUUUACCAAGGUUGACCUCGGAUCAGGUAGGAAUACCCGCUGAACUUAAGCAUAUCAAUAAGCGGAGGA
This 360-nucleotide unclassified non-coding RNA is filed under the name soil metagenome. Its description in RNAcentral is "partial contains 5.8S ribosomal RNA, internal transcribed spacer 2, and large subunit ribosomal RNA". The stretch from base 1 to 120 matches the Rfam family "5.8S ribosomal RNA", at positions 35 to 154 of the family's 154-position model. The record is from RNAcentral.